Long non-coding RNA from Stegostoma tigrinum, 1117 nucleotides. RefSeq lists it as uncharacterized. NCBI's taxonomy places the organism in Eukaryota, Metazoa, Chordata, Chondrichthyes, Orectolobiformes, Stegostomatidae. The transcript has 3 exons. The record is from RefSeq and is a predicted model, not a curated record.
GGUGGUGCAAAAGACAGGGGGACUGUCCCCAGAGGACUGGCAGAGAAGACCAUCUGAACCUGGCAGCCUAGUCCGAGAUUACCACCCUGAUCAGUGCUAUCUCCACAGUGCAAUAUGAAGGUCAGCUGUGCUCAGGAGAAAAUGGCCCAUAUCUGGGAAGGAAAAGCCAAGGCAGGUAGAGAGAGGGGUUCCUGACCUUAAAGCUCACCAUUCCUCAUAAGGAGACAAUCCUGGCCCUUGCAGGAGAAGACAGGGGCUGCUCCUGUGGGAAUGCUGAGCUAUCCAUGUUCCACCAACCAGGUACAUCUAACGUGAACUAUUUCCUUGGUGAAAUGGAGAAAGCAUUGGCAAGGCUGCCUCUUACACCGUUCCAAAUACUGAUACUACUGCAAACAUCCCAAUGGGGACAUUAGCCUAAGAGAGGGUGUGACCACAAUCUGUUGAGCAUUUCACUGUGACAUGAUAAAAUACCCGAGGCUCCUGGCACUCAGAGGACUGCCAAAGACCAGGUACCUGCUCAGCCACGGACAGGAGAUGACUAGUAACACUAUAGUGUUGCACCUUGUCUGCAUGCACAGAGGUGAAGAGGAGUGGCAGACAGAUAUAUGGAAUCAAUGGCCCUCAUUGCCCAGAAGUUGUAGCUGCGCAUUGUGGAAUGCAUCUGUCUGGGUGCCUCCAUGGACAUGUUGUUGGCUGCCAUGGAAAGCCAGGUCCAGUAUCCUGACAGUCUACGAGGGAGGACACAUAUCUGCACUCGGUGGUCUAUCUACUGGCCUUCAGGACCAUAGGCACAUUAUCAAGGGAAUGGGAUGGUGAGUGAGCUCCACAGGUGCUCCUCUGUCACAGGGAGAAAAGGUAGUUCCAGUAGGCACCCAGUUAAUGGAGGAACCACACAAACCCCCUCAGAAGUCUCCACUCUGGAAUCUCCAAUAGUGGCUGGGGACCCACCUCUGCCCUGCAUGCUCAACUGACACUUUUAAGUUCACACCAAGGUUGAUCAACCUUCAAGAAAACCAUCUUCAAGUCUGGACCAUUACACUUACUCCCUAGGGUCAGUCGUUCAAAUCUCCAGGUCAACGGGCUCCACGAGAGAGCAGUGGUUUCCCACACCAACUAU